UAAGAAAGAAAAUGGUUUGCGAAUUUAUUUUCAGAAAAUGAUAAUGCCUGGCACCGCUAUUGAAGGAGGUGGAGGGAGCAGAGAUUCAUCUGAAUUCGAAUUCAUUUCAAAGGGAAACGCUGUUUCGGGGUUUUUGGACGAGACCAUACCCACGCCCACCGUCUCCUUUCCCUCCCCCUCCCACCUCCAGCCACACACCGUUAACUUCCAAUCCAACCCUAUCAUGGAGACCAAGCCUCUAAG
Molecule: long non-coding RNA, 243 nt
Organism: Eurytemora carolleeae
Lineage: Eukaryota; Metazoa; Arthropoda; Copepoda; Calanoida; Temoridae
Exons: 2
Source: RefSeq, a predicted model, not a curated record